This 67-nucleotide transfer RNA is filed under the name Comicus campestris. RNAcentral's name for it is "tRNA-Ser". The record is from RNAcentral. Lineage: Eukaryota; Metazoa; Arthropoda; Insecta; Orthoptera; Schizodactylidae.
GAAAUGUGAUUGAUCAAGAAAAAGCUGCUAACUUUAACUUAAACGGUUAAAAUCCGUUUACAUUUCU